Molecule: long non-coding RNA, 457 nt
Filed under: Rattus norvegicus (Norway rat)
Lineage: Eukaryota; Metazoa; Chordata; Mammalia; Rodentia; Muridae
Description: long non-coding RNA NONRATT015399
Source: RNAcentral
UUAAGCAUUAGUGGGCAAAUCCCCAUCACACACUUGUUUUCUGAUCUGCCUUCUCUUGGACAGCAUUACCGCUACAUUGGCAGAACCAAGGAUCACCGAGGGACCAUGAUCCCUAGCGAAGCCCCCUUGCUUCAUCACCAAGUCAAGCUAGUGGAUCCUGUGGACAGGCAAGCACAGGGGCCCCUGGUCCAGGUGCUUCUAACUCUUGAGUUCACACAGGUGCUGGGUAUACCCAUUUACCAAUGAGAAUAGUGUGUUGGAUAUGCUGGAACUCAGGGAUCUGUUUCUCGUACACAAUCUGUCAGUGACCCUGAUGCAGACAAAAACAAAGGUGGUAACCCAGAGGUCCUUAACCACUGCUUUCACUUUUGGGUUGGAGGAUGACACAGGCCCCAAGCUAGAUUCAUUUUUUUUCUUACCCACUAGGAAACCUACUGAGAUCCAGUGGAGAUUUACU